Molecule: transfer RNA, 31 nt
Filed under: Phrynocephalus vlangalii vlangalii
Lineage: Eukaryota; Metazoa; Chordata; Lepidosauria; Squamata; Agamidae
Description: partial tRNA-Ala
Source: RNAcentral
GAAAGACCUGUAAGACUUUCUCCUACAUCAU